GCAAGUCGAGCGGUAACAGGCGAGUGCUUGCACUUGCGCUGACGAGUGGCGGACGGGCGAGUAAUGCAUAGGACUCUGUCCUUUCGAGGGGGAUAGCUCCGGGAAACUAGAGGUAAUACCGCGUACAACCUACGGGUUAAAGGUGGCGCAAGCUGCCGCGAAAGGGUGAGCCUAUGUUAGAUUAGCUAGAUGGUGAGGUAAAAGCUCACCAUGGCUACGAUCCAUAGCUGGUCUGAGAGGAUGAUC
This 246-nucleotide ribosomal RNA is filed under the name uncultured bacterium. Its description in RNAcentral is "partial 16S ribosomal RNA". It matches the Rfam family "Bacterial small subunit ribosomal RNA", at positions 57 to 305 of the family's 1533-position model. The record is from RNAcentral.